GGGGUUGUGGCUCAGCGGUAGAGCGCUCGUCCAGCACAUGAGAGGUCCUGGGUUCAAUCCUCAGCACCACA
Molecule: transfer RNA, 71 nt
Filed under: Marmota monax (woodchuck)
Lineage: Eukaryota; Metazoa; Chordata; Mammalia; Rodentia; Sciuridae
Description: tRNA.Ala
Rfam family: tRNA
About the family: Transfer RNA (tRNA) molecules are approximately 80 nucleotides in length.
Source: RNAcentral